This 412-nucleotide ribosomal RNA is filed under the name uncultured bacterium. RNAcentral describes it as "bacterial SSU rRNA". It matches the Rfam family "Bacterial small subunit ribosomal RNA", at positions 32 to 423 of the family's 1533-position model. The record is from RNAcentral.
AAUCAACGCUGGCGGCGUGCCUCAGACAUGCAAGUCGAACGCGAAAGUCCCCUUCGGGGGACAAGUAGAGUGGCGCACGGGUGAGUAACACGUAGGUAAUCUACCUUCGGAUGGGGAAUAACAAUCGGAAACGGUUGCUAAUACCGCAUAAUGCAGCGGCACCUAAUGGUGACAGUUGUUAAAGCGGGGGGAUCGAAAGACCUCGCGUCUGAAGAGGAGCCUGCGGCGGAUAGCUAGUUGGUAAGGUAACGGCUUACCAAGGCGACGAUCCGUAGCCGGCCUGAGAGGGCGGUCGGCCACACUGACACUGACAUACGGGUCAGACUCCUACGGGAGGCAGCAGUCGGGAAUUUUGGGCAAUGGGCGAAAGCCUGACCCAGCAACGCCGCGUGAAGGAUGAAAUCCCUCGGGA